GAAGCUUAGAUGAACAUGACCCAAAUCUGCUCCCACAUAGCCAAGCCACAAAUAUUUAAACCGCUACAACCACCAGAAACCACUAUGCAACCUAUGAUGCCUCAUAUCUCAUCAUUAUAACCAAAAAACGAGGAUCAGCAUAAAGAAUAUAAGAAUAGUACAAAAGGUGAAAACAAAAUAAGAGUGGAAAGGGUCGUGUGAGACUUGUCUUCCUUUUUAGAUCCCCAGCACAGUAAGAUAACAAGGGCCCUGUUUUAUAGACUUUAACUCGAUGCGGAAAAGUCGAUACUUUAAGUGCAAUUAUUGGACUUGUCAUCUUAUAUCAUGGAGCCAUGAAUACACUUUCUUCUGACUCCACCAUGAAUACACAUUUUAAUGAGUAAAAAGGAAUCAUUGAGAAAACCAUGUUUUUAAUGGGAAAAUUGUUAAAACAGAACAGUAUAAUUGUACGUUGUAACUAGUAUAAAAUCAAUUUUGUCAAUUUUAUCUCUUUUUUAUUUUUUAUAUUUCUAAAUUAAUGAAAUAAAUAGUUUUGCGAAUAAAAAAAUUAUAAAAAUCAUAAACUGUUGUGUUAUGAAGGGAAAAACGUGUGUAUUUUUAUUACUGUCGCCAAUAGGCUUAUAUAUACAUUACAUAGUAGUUAUCCUAGUCGCCAAUAGGCUUAUAUAUACAUUACAUAGUAGUUAUACAUGGGAUAAAUACAAAAUAAGAUCAGGCGCCUAUGGCUUUCUCCGGAUGGGUUUGGGCCAAGCUGCUGCACGGGCCUGCUAGUGGUCGAUCACAUAAUCAGUACAUAACACUCCUUCUUGAUCGACACAUCUGGUAUAGGUUCGUUGCAUACUUAAUGUUGCCUCAUUAAAACUUCUCCUGGUUAACCUCAAAACCAAUGUGGCAAAAUGGGAAACCAAGGACAGGAAAAAGAGUACAACACAUGAACUCUCUCUGAUGAAUGCAUCACUGUAGUUGACGCAUUUCCAUCUUGUAUCCAAGUCUUCCUGAACGUUGAAGCUGCCUGUGACUUGAUGAAGAUGAUCAACUGGAUUCUCCUUUAAUGAACUGGUAACACAUGGACGUCUUGGUGUGUUUGGAACUCCAUAAAGGUGUGGUCAGGAUGUACACCUUUGUUGCUGAUCACUCCUUGUCUUGGUCGGACUGAUGGUGCUUCGAACGGUGCUCGGAUGGACUUAUAAUCUGCAAUAAAACUUUACUUGCAGGUCCUUUUCAUGUCCCACGGGUUCUCUUUGGUUAUAUGGCUUUAUUAAACCGUGGACACUUUAAUAUACAUUGAGUCAUAGACCCAAAA
Molecule: long non-coding RNA, 1303 nt
Organism: Raphanus sativus (radish)
Lineage: Eukaryota; Viridiplantae; Streptophyta; Magnoliopsida; Brassicales; Brassicaceae
Exons: 2
Source: RefSeq, a predicted model, not a curated record